AAGCAGCAUCAUUUUGAACACUCAAAGAUAUAUGGGGAGGACAAAUAGAAGUUUUUUUUCUUAUUUGCUUUCAAUUGCUAUGUUAAAUAUUGUCUUCCCAGAAAAAGAAAAUCUAAUUGUAUGAGAAUAGGAGAUAUUACCGUAGCUCCCUUUCAGAAUUUCUUCAUCAGAAACCUAGAGAGUUUCAAGAAAAAACUACAAAGCUUUACUCCACCUAACCACGCUGAGCUCCCAAGUUUACUUGGAUAUGGACAUAUCAGGUUCAGAAACAGAAUAUUAAGUGUGAAUUGUAAUGUAAGGUCCUCUUCCUUGGAAUUGCUUCAUCACUCUCUUAAAGACCAACUUCUGCGUAAUUUUUACCAACGAACAGCAGAUUUCAGAACGCAGAGGUGAAGAUUUAAUGUUGGGCAGAUGGAAUCUUCUCUACCCUAUGGGAAGAACUCUACGGCCCAUUCUAGCUGUACCAGGUCUAUUGCCUUGCUUAAGAUGUCAAAUCCUUCCUUCGUCUGAUGACUCAGUCUCACAGACGAGAGCUGUGAGUAGAAGAUCGUUUUAGCCAGGGUGGGGCAAUGGGAUUAAUAUGCAUUUCUUUAAAAUUUUCUCAAAUGUAACACCCAUGUUAAUGGUAAAUCCCAGAAUACCAUUAGUACAGAAGUCAAUAAAGCUCAU
Molecule: long non-coding RNA, 669 nt
Organism: Choloepus didactylus (southern two-toed sloth)
Lineage: Eukaryota; Metazoa; Chordata; Mammalia; Pilosa; Megalonychidae
Exons: 3
Source: RefSeq, a predicted model, not a curated record